This 194-nucleotide ribosomal RNA is filed under the name uncultured bacterium. RNAcentral's name for it is "partial 16S ribosomal RNA". It matches the Rfam family "Bacterial small subunit ribosomal RNA", at positions 338 to 524 of the family's 1533-position model. The record is from RNAcentral.
CCUACGGGAGGCAGCAGUAGGGAAUCUUCCACAAUGGGCGCAAGCCUGAUGGAGCAACACCGCGUGAGUGAAGAAGGGUUUCGGCUCGUAAAGCUCUGUUGUUAGAGAAGAACGUGCGUGAGAGCAACUGUUCACGCAGUGACGGUAUCUAACCAGAAAGUCACGGCUAACUACGUGCCAGCAGCCGCGGUAAU